AGUGCCUAUUGGAGGAAGACAAAGUCAAAAACCCUAUCAUGAACAAUCCUAAGGAGAGACCAACAUGGCAAAGAAGAAAAGCCUCCUGCCAACAAUCGUACGAGUGAACUUGGAAGUUGAUUAUGCCACCACAGUUGAACAUUGAGAUGAGUGCAGCCUCAGGCAAUGGACGUGACUGCAACCUUGGGACAGACCUUGAACCAAACCACCCAGAUACUAUGUUUAUUCGGAAUUGGUGGUUUCUGACAACCCUACAUGAGGAAUUCUGUUGACACCAUGUUUCCAACAGGAUGUGAUCACUUUGUAUCUUUGUCAC
This 316-nucleotide long non-coding RNA is filed under the name Homo sapiens (human). RNAcentral's name for it is "HSALNT0325693". Lineage: Eukaryota; Metazoa; Chordata; Mammalia; Primates; Hominidae. The record is from RNAcentral.